Homo sapiens (human) is the source of this 383-nucleotide long non-coding RNA. Ensembl annotates it as DNAJA4 divergent transcript. Its record names the gene DNAJA4-DT. The record is from Ensembl. NCBI's taxonomy places the organism in Eukaryota, Metazoa, Chordata, Mammalia, Primates, Hominidae.
AAGGGUGGGACUGGGAGAGCUGCGCCCUGCGGUCCCCACCCGGCCUCUCCCCGGGGGUGUGGCCGCCGUCUGUUCGGUCACAGCCAGGCUGCGGCCUAAGUUGAGGUACAGGGGUCCUUUGCUGGCCCCAGAUGUGGACAGUAUCCUCUCGAAUGCCCACCACUGGGAACCCUUAAGUCCCUCAAGAUCUUUCCUCAGCCUCGGCCAGUCCUAUCUCAGCAGUAGUGGCCGGUGUUAAGUAUGGUGCCUAGAAAAUUACAGACUAUUCCAGACCAGGAAGGAAAGUUGACUUCAUCUUCAGAUACUCAGGCUCCAGCCUGGAGACAUCUCAUCUCUCCUCUGUCACUCCUUCCCCAUUAUUAAAGUUUGUGGAUGUUCCUUAG